GCUCAACUUUGAAAUCUGGCUGUUUUACAGUCCGAGUUGUAGUCUCGAGAAGUGUUUUCCGCGUUAAACCGUGUAUGAGUCUGUUGGAACACAGCGUCAUAGAGGGUGAGAACCCCGUUCAUGACACGGCUUUUAAUGCUUUGUGAUACAUUUUCGAUGAGUCGAGUUGUUUGGGAAUGCAGCUCAAAUUGGGUGGUAAAUUCCAUCUAAAGCUAAAUAUUGGCGAGAGACCGAUAGCAAACAAGUACCGUGAGGGAAAGAUGAAAAGCACUUUGGAAAGAGAGUUAAAAGUACGUGAAAUUGUCGAAAGGGAAACGCUUGAAGUCAGACGUGCACGGGAUUUAUUCCUAUUGCAGGCCAACAUCGGUUUUACGAGCCGGAUAAAGGUACAAGGAAGGUAGCAGUUUCGGCUGUGUUAUAGCCUCGUACUGAAUACGGAUUGUGAGACCGAGGGACGCAGCGCGCCGCAAGGCAAAGGGUCCGCCCUUUUCGCGCUUAGGAUGUUGGUGAAAUGGCUUUAAUCGACCCGUCUUG
RNAcentral lists this ribosomal RNA (534 nucleotides) under Erythrobasidium hasegawianum. RNAcentral's name for it is "eukaryotic LSU rRNA". It matches the Rfam family "Eukaryotic large subunit ribosomal RNA", at positions 107 to 656 of the family's 3401-position model. Lineage: Eukaryota; Fungi; Basidiomycota; Cystobasidiomycetes; Erythrobasidiales; Erythrobasidiaceae. The record is from RNAcentral.